AAAAGGCGCGACUGUUCACCUCCAUUUAUUAAUACUGGUGAAUUUUUUAUUAUUGUGGAAAGUUAUGACUUAAUUAGUUCUUUUCAGUAACCAUUUUUAUUGAAUUGUGGAUCGUGCCUACUGUUAAUGAGUUGAGGAUGACUUCUUUUCUUACACUAGGUCUUAUUGAUAGAAAAGAAGACCCAAUGGUGGAGUUAAUAAAAAAGAAAUUGGCUGGAGCAAC
This 223-nucleotide long non-coding RNA is filed under the name Capsicum annuum. RNAcentral describes it as "long non-coding RNA (CANN_LNC007993)". The record is from RNAcentral. Lineage: Eukaryota; Viridiplantae; Streptophyta; Magnoliopsida; Solanales; Solanaceae.